UUUCCGUAGGUGAACCUGCGGAGGGAUCAUUACAGAGUUCAUGCCCUACCGGGUAGAUCUCCCACCCUAUGUUUUUAUUACUUUGUUGCUUUGGCGGGCCGUUAGGCUCCGGCCCGACUACCGGCCCCGGCUGGUAAGCGCCCGCCAGAGGACCCAAAACCCUGAAUAUUAGUGUCGUCUGAGUACUAUAUAAUAGUUAAAACUUUCAACAACGGAUCUCUGGGUUCUG
RNAcentral lists this unclassified non-coding RNA (229 nucleotides) under plant metagenome. Its description in RNAcentral is "partial contains small subunit ribosomal RNA, internal transcribed spacer 1, and 5.8S ribosomal RNA". The record is from RNAcentral.